ACGCUCGACACCUACGGGAGACAGCAGUGGGGAAUAUUGCACAAUGGGGGAAACCCUGAUGCAGCGACGCCGCGUGAGCGAAGAAGUAUUUCGGUAUGUAAAGCUCUAUCAGCAGGGAAGAAACUGACGGUACCUGACUAAGAAGCACCGGCUAAAUACGUGCCAACAGCCGCGGUAAUCUGAGCGGGCUGGCAAGGCU
RNAcentral lists this ribosomal RNA (199 nucleotides) under uncultured bacterium. RNAcentral's name for it is "partial 16S ribosomal RNA". It matches the Rfam family "Bacterial small subunit ribosomal RNA", at positions 328 to 539 of the family's 1533-position model. The record is from RNAcentral.